CCAAUAGCGUAUAUUAAAGUUGUUGCAGUUAAAAAGCUCGUAGUUGAAUUUCGGAAUCUGUCCGUUGGUCGGGCUUAAUUGUCCGUACUGAUGUGAUGGGUUCUUACCUUCUGAAUAACCAGCAUGCCAUUAAUUUAGUGUGUUGGGGAAGCAGGACUAUUACCUUGAAAAAAUUAGAGUGCUCAAAGCAGGCUAGUGCCUGAAUACAUUAGCAUGGAAUAAUAAAAUAGGACGGCAUGGUUCUAUUUUGUUGGUUUCUAGGAUCACCGUAAUGAUUAAUAGGGAUAGUUGGGGGCAUUAGUAUUCAAUUGUCAGAGGUGAAAUUCUUGGAUUUAUUGAAGACUAACUUCUGCGAAAGCAUUUGCCAAGGAUGUUUUCAUUAAUCAAGAACGAAAGUUAGGGGAUCGAAGACGAUCAGAUACCGUCGUAGUCUUAACCAUAAACUAUGCCGACUAGGGAUCGGACGAUGUUAAUUUUAUAAUGACUCGUUCGGCACCUUACG
This 502-nucleotide ribosomal RNA is filed under the name uncultured Glomeromycotina. RNAcentral's name for it is "partial small subunit ribosomal RNA". It matches the Rfam family "Eukaryotic small subunit ribosomal RNA", at positions 591 to 1092 of the family's 1831-position model. Lineage: Eukaryota; Fungi; Glomeromycota. The record is from RNAcentral.